This is a small nuclear RNA of Ailuropoda melanoleuca (giant panda), 91 nucleotides long. The record is from Ensembl. NCBI's taxonomy places the organism in Eukaryota, Metazoa, Chordata, Mammalia, Carnivora, Ursidae.
GUGCUUGCUUUGGCAGCAUAUAUACUAAAAUCGGAAUAAUACAGAGAAGAUUAGCACGACUCAGUGGGAUGACAAAAAUUUCCCCCUUUUU